GAUGAACGCUGGCGGCGUGCCUAACACAUGCAAGUCGAACGGAAAGACCCUGCUUUUGUGGGGUUCUCGAGUGGCGAACGGGUGAGUAACACAUGAGUAAACUGCCCUUGACUUUGGGAUAACUUCAGGAAACUGGGUCUAUUACCCGAUAGGAGCUCCUGCGGCAUGGUGGGGGUUGGAAAGUUUCGGCGGUUGGGUAGUGACUCGCGGCUUAUCAGCUUGUUGGUGGGGUAGUGGCUUACCAAGGCUUUGACGGGUAGCCCGCCUGAGAGGGUGACCGGCGACACUGGGACUGAGGGAAGGCAGAGGUGGGUACGGGUGGAAACAGGGGGAAAGCUUGAACAAGGAGUGGAGGGGGGGUGAAGAAGCGCCUCGGGUGGGAAAGCGGCUUUGUGGGGAAAAACAGCUUUGGCUUUAAAAGAGUCGGGAGUGAAGGUAACGGGUAAAAAAGCAACGGCUAACUACGUG
RNAcentral lists this ribosomal RNA (468 nucleotides) under uncultured bacterium. RNAcentral's name for it is "partial 16S ribosomal RNA". It matches the Rfam family "Bacterial small subunit ribosomal RNA", at positions 28 to 507 of the family's 1533-position model. The record is from RNAcentral.